Molecule: ribosomal RNA, 503 nt
Filed under: uncultured bacterium
Lineage: Bacteria
Description: partial 16S ribosomal RNA
Rfam family: Bacterial small subunit ribosomal RNA
Source: RNAcentral
AUUGAACGCUGGCGGCAGGCUUAACACAUGCAAGUCGAGCGGAGUGAUGGUGCUUGCACUAUCACUUAGCGGCGGACGGGUGAGUAAUGCUUAGGAAUCUGCCUAUUAGUGGGGGACAACAUCUCGAAAGGGAUGCUAAUACCGCAUACGUCCUACGGGAGAAAGCAGGGGAUCACUUGUGAUCUUGCGCUAAUAGAUGAGCCUAAGUCGGAUUAGCUAGUUGGUGGGGUAAAGGCCUACCAAGGCGACGAUCUGUAGCGGGUCUGAGAGGAUGAUCCGCCACACUGGGACUGAGACACGGCCCAGACUCCUACGGGAGGCAGCAGUGGGGAAUAUUGGACAAUGGGGGGAACCCUGAUCCAGCCAUGCCGCGUGUGUGAAGAAGGCCUUAUGGUUGUAAAGCACUUUAAGCGAGGAGGAGGCCCUUUUGGUUAAUACCCAAGAUGAGUGGACGUUACUCGCAGAAUAAGCACCGGCUAACUCUGUGCCAGCCGCCGCAGUAA